GAAUAUUGCACAAUGGGCGCAAGCCUGAUGCAGCGACGCCGCGUGGGCGAUGAAGGUCUUCGGAUCGUAAAGCCCUUUUCUGUGUGACGAGACAAAGGACGGUAGCACAGGAAUAAGUCUCGGCUAACUACGUGCCAGCAGCCGCGGUAAAACGUAGGAGGCAAGCGUUAUCCGGAGUUACUGGGCGUAAAGCGCGUGUAGGCGGUUGAGUAGGUCAGAUGUGAAAGCUCCCAGGCUAAACCGGGAGAGGUCAUUUGAAACCGCUCGGCUAGAGUGAGGUAGAGGGAUGUGGAAUUCCGGGUGUAGUGGUGAAAUGCGUAGAUAUCCGGAGGAACACCAGUGGCGAAGGCGGCAUCCUGGGCCUUAACUGACGCUGAGACGCGAAAGCAUGGGGAGCGAGCGGG
This 404-nucleotide ribosomal RNA is filed under the name uncultured bacterium. RNAcentral describes it as "bacterial SSU rRNA". It matches the Rfam family "Bacterial small subunit ribosomal RNA", at positions 359 to 776 of the family's 1533-position model. The record is from RNAcentral.